RNAcentral lists this ribosomal RNA (512 nucleotides) under Oreina alpestris. Its description in RNAcentral is "partial 16S ribosomal RNA". It matches the Rfam family "Bacterial large subunit ribosomal RNA", at positions 1830 to 2604 of the family's 2925-position model. Lineage: Eukaryota; Metazoa; Arthropoda; Insecta; Coleoptera; Chrysomelidae. The record is from RNAcentral.
UCCUUUUGUAUAUAAUUUAAGGUCUAGCCUGCCCACUGAAAUUUUAAAUGGCCGUGGUAUUUUGACCGUGCUAAGGUAGCAUAAUCAUUAGUUUUUUAAUUAAAAACUGGAAUGAAAGGUUGGAUGAGAAAAUAGCUGUCUCUAUUAAAUUUAAUUAGAAUUUUAUUUUUAAGUUAAAAAGCUUAAUUAUUAUUAAAAGACGAGAAGACCCUAUAGAGUUUAAUUAUUUAGUAAAAAUUAUAUUUUAGUAUUAAUUUAUUUACUUUAUUAAAUAAUUUAAUUGGGGUGAUUGAAAAAUUUAAUUAACUUUUUUUAUUUAAGAACAUUAAUUUAUGAAUAAAUGAUCCAAUAUUUUUGAUUAUAAGAUAAAAUUACCUUAGGGAUAACAGCGUAAUUUUUUUAGAAAGUUCAUAUUAAAAAAAAAGAUUGCGACCUCGAUGUUGGAUUAAAAUAAAUUUUUGGUGUAGAAGCUAAAAUAUUAGGUCUGUUCGACCUUUAAAAUUUUACAUGAU